UCUAUUUAAGCCCGACGGAACGCCGGCGUAUUCACUGGGAAUCUCCUCAACCGACGCCGUGAGUGCUAACACAAGUUCAAGCGGAGGCAGCGUCAGUGCCGGAACUCCACCGACGGUGCCGGAGAGCUCUUCCACUGGUUACUUGUCUAUUUCUAGUGCAACGGGAACACAUAAGACUGUCAUUGGCCAUCUGUUUUUUCCGUUGGCAUUGUUGAUGAUCUGCUGGGCCUUCAGAUUUCCGUUUUGAACAGUACCUUUGCAACGGCUUCAUCGAAAGGGAAUCAGUCGGUAAAGCCAGAGGGCGAUGGGGAGAGGGAAAUCUAGAGUGAACAGGAAGCGGUUAUAGGGAAGGUGAACUUCUGUUCCUUUACUUGUACGCUACAAAGUGCAAAGCAUCUAUCUUUUGCUUAGUUGACUCAUAACUGCCUGCCAGAAAGUGCCACCUUUGGUGGGCACAAAUUCGUAAUGACCUUUAAAUCUCCCUAAUUGGGCCCUUUGCUACCCACUUUUGUUGAUAAUAGAUGUCUUUGAUUUGUUUGAUUAAAAAAUUUAGAGCAAUUAUCGUCGGCUUUUGCACUUUUUAGUUGGCAAUAAACUGUCAACUUUUUUUCUUUUCACUUUGUCCUUUGCAGCGUAUUCAUUGUGUAACAAAUUUUAAAUUAUAUUAUCUUUGUUGAGGGGGGUCGUCUAGAUCAGCUACACGGAUUAUUCGCACUUAGAUUAUUGAAUUAUUGUUCCUGUUUGUAUCUCCCUUUCAUUUAUCGUGGAAUGGGAUUUUGUUUUUACGAUGAUAAUCUACCCCUCAUCUGUACUUUAAUGCUCACUCCAUGCUUCCAGUACUCUGAAUUUCACAACCCAGGAAAAAU
Molecule: unclassified non-coding RNA, 866 nt
Filed under: Hevea brasiliensis (rubber tree)
Lineage: Eukaryota; Viridiplantae; Streptophyta; Magnoliopsida; Malpighiales; Euphorbiaceae
Source: RNAcentral